This 83-nucleotide transfer RNA is filed under the name Daphnia magna. It matches the Rfam family "tRNA". Rfam says of the family: Transfer RNA (tRNA) molecules are approximately 80 nucleotides in length. Their secondary structure includes four short double-helical elements and three loops (D, anti-codon, and T loops). Lineage: Eukaryota; Metazoa; Arthropoda; Branchiopoda; Diplostraca; Daphniidae. The record is from Rfam by way of RNAcentral.
GCCGUGAUCGUCUAGUGGUUAGGACCCUACGUUGUGGGGCUAGCAAUUCCGUAGUAACCCAGGUUCGAAUCCUGGUCACGGCA